This 547-nucleotide long non-coding RNA is filed under the name Panax ginseng (ginseng). RNAcentral describes it as "long non-coding RNA (PGIN_LNC010476)". Lineage: Eukaryota; Viridiplantae; Streptophyta; Magnoliopsida; Apiales; Araliaceae. The record is from RNAcentral.
UAGUUUUGUGGCCUUUGUUACUUAAGUAAGUAAGCCCGAGGGGAUUGUCUCUACACCUAGCGCCCUAAGGUCUUAAUGGCUUGGUAGUCGUUGGUCGAAAGCUCGUUAAGGUAACACUGAAAAGCCUAAGGGAAUAAGACAAUGCAUAACCAUAAGAAAAAAUAAAUAAAAAAAAGAUAAAAAUAAUAAUAAAGCGGGAAGAGUGCAAAAAGCCCCCGUUAUAAAAAAAAAAGAAGAUGAAGCAUAAGUAUUCCAUGUUGACCCCUGGACUUUGUUAAGUGUUGAUUUUAGUCAAAGCUAGUUGUUUGAGGAGUUUCUGAAUUUCACUGUAUGUUGCCUUCAAAGAAAUCUAUUAUCUUUCGUAUUUUGCUUUUCAUUGGUUAACAUGGUUGUUAAACACACACACACGAUGUCAGUUAUAAUAGAUUGAGAUUUAUUGAUUGCUGGGAUAUUAUUGAUCUGCCUUACUAUGAUGUAUUAGCAUGUUUAUGUGAUUUUUCUGAGGCCUGAUGGAUAUAUGGUAUGCUAUUUAAUUGCUGGAAUUACG